CCGGCCGCCUCAUAAAUCGAGGCCCCGGCUUUUGGGCCUGCUAGGCCGCGAUCUUCCCGGCCCCUCCUCCUUGCUUCCCGGGCUUUUCUGACCCCGCCCGGCCCUCGGGAGGGGCUAUCUCCUCCACCCUUUACUGGGCAAACAUGUUUUU
Bufo bufo (common toad) is the source of this 151-nucleotide long non-coding RNA. RefSeq lists it as uncharacterized. Lineage: Eukaryota; Metazoa; Chordata; Amphibia; Anura; Bufonidae. The transcript is spliced from 3 exons. The record is from RefSeq and is a predicted model, not a curated record.